ACGGGCAUAGUAUAACGGUAUUAUUGCAAUUCUUCGGGGAUUGCCGAUGCAGGUUCAACUCCUGCUGCCCGGU
This 73-nucleotide transfer RNA is filed under the name Pantoea agglomerans. Its description in RNAcentral is "tRNA-Arg". It matches the Rfam family "tRNA". From Rfam's summary of the family: Transfer RNA (tRNA) molecules are approximately 80 nucleotides in length. Their secondary structure includes four short double-helical elements and three loops (D, anti-codon, and T loops). Further hydrogen bonds mediate the characteristic L-shaped molecular structure. tRNAs have two regions of fundamental functional importance: the anti-codon, which is responsible for specific mRNA codon recognition, and the 3' end, to which the tRNAs corresponding amino acid is attached (by aminoacyl-tRNA synthetases). tRNAs cope with the degeneracy of the genetic code in two manners: having more than one tRNA (with a specific anti-codon) for a particular amino acid; and 'wobble' base-pairing, i.e. permitting non-standard base-pairing at the 3rd anti-codon position. The record is from RNAcentral. Lineage: Bacteria; Pseudomonadati; Pseudomonadota; Gammaproteobacteria; Enterobacterales; Erwiniaceae. RNAcentral also lists the same sequence under 4 other names.